Molecule: non-coding RNA, 107 nt
Organism: Acanthosepion pharaonis
Lineage: Eukaryota; Metazoa; Mollusca; Cephalopoda; Sepiida; Sepiidae
Source: the annotation of a GenBank genome assembly
GCUACAUUACGUUGAAACGUCAGUUUCCGUAAGAUCACCGAAGUUAAGCAACGUAGAGUAUGGUCAGUACCAAGAUGGAUGAUCGUUUGGAAAUACUAGGUGCUAUA